AGAUAGUGGCGGACGGGUGAGUAACACGUGGGUAACCUGCCCAUAAGAGGGGGAUAACAUCCGGAAACGGGUGCUAAUACCGCAUAGUUUUCUUGAUCGCAUGAUCGAGAAAGGAAAGACGGCCUUUGUGCUGUCGCUUAUGGAUGGACCCGCGGCGUAUUAGUUAGUUGGUGAGGUAAUGGCUCACCAAGACGAUGAUACGUAGCCGACCUGAGAGGGUGAUCGGCCACAUUGGGACUGAGACACGGCCCAAACUCUUACGGGAGGCAGCAGUAGGGAAUCUUCCGCAAUGGACGAAAGUCUGACGGAGCAACGCCGCGUGAGUGAAGAAGGUUUUCGGAUCGUAAAACUCUGUUGUCAGAGAAGAACAAGUUGGAGAGUAACUGCUCCAGCCUUGACGGUAUCUGACCAGAAAGCCACGGCUAACUACGUGCCAGCAGCCGCGGUAAUACGUAGGUGGCAAGCGUUGUCCGGAUUUAUUGGGCGUAAAGCGAGCGCAGGCGGUUCCUUAAGUCUGAUGUGAAAGCCCACGGCUCAACCGUGGAAGGUCAUUGGAAA
RNAcentral lists this ribosomal RNA (558 nucleotides) under uncultured Trichococcus sp. RNAcentral describes it as "bacterial SSU rRNA". It matches the Rfam family "Bacterial small subunit ribosomal RNA", at positions 90 to 632 of the family's 1533-position model. Lineage: Bacteria; Bacillati; Bacillota; Bacilli; Lactobacillales; Carnobacteriaceae. The record is from RNAcentral.